UACAGAGGGUGCAAGCGUUAAUCGGAAUUACUGGGCGUAAAGAGUGCGUAGGCGGUUAAGUAAGUUAGGUGUGAAAUCCCCGGGCUCAACCUGGGAACUGCGCUUAAAACUAUUUAGCUAGAGUGUUGUAGAGGAAAGUAGAAUUUCCGGUGUAGCGGUGAAAUGCGUAGAUAUCGGAAGGAAUACCAGUGGCGAAGGCGACUUUCUGGACAAACACUGACGCUGAGGCACGAAAGCGUGGGGAGCAAACAGG
Molecule: unclassified non-coding RNA, 253 nt
Filed under: uncultured Gammaproteobacteria bacterium
Lineage: Bacteria; Pseudomonadati; Pseudomonadota; Gammaproteobacteria
Description: contains 16S-23S intergenic spacer region
Rfam family: Bacterial small subunit ribosomal RNA
Source: RNAcentral